RNAcentral lists this ribosomal RNA (464 nucleotides) under uncultured bacterium. Its description in RNAcentral is "partial 16S ribosomal RNA". It matches the Rfam family "Bacterial small subunit ribosomal RNA", at positions 28 to 507 of the family's 1533-position model. The record is from RNAcentral.
GACGAACGCUGGCGGCGUGCUUAACACAUGCAAGUCGAACGAUGAAGCCAGCUUGCUGGUGGAUUAGCGGCGAACGGGUGCGUAACACGUGGGUGAUCUGCCCCAAACUUUGGGAUAAGCCUGGGAAACUGGGUCUAAUACCGAAUAUGACCGAUACUCUCAUGCGUGUUGGUGGAAAGCUCCGGCGGUUUGGGAUGGGCCCGCGGGCUAUCAGCUUGUUGGUGGGGUAAUGGCCUACCAAGGCGGCGACGGGUAGCCGGCCUGAGAGGGCGACCGGCCACACUGGGACUGAGACACGGCCCAGACUCCUACGGGAGGCAGCAGUGGGGAAUAUUGCACAAUGGGCGCAAGCCUGAUGCAGCGACGCCGCGUGAGGGAUGACGGCCUUCGGGUUGUAAACCUCUUUCACCAGGGACGAAGCGAAAGUGACGGUACCUGGAGAAGAAGCACCGGCCAACUACGUG